AGAUGUUUUGGGACUACAACUCCCAUCAUCCCUAGCUAACAGGACAAGUGGUCAGGGAUGAUGGGAGUUGUAGUCCCAAAACAUCU
Molecule: non-coding RNA, 86 nt
Organism: Podarcis lilfordi (Lilford's wall lizard)
Lineage: Eukaryota; Metazoa; Chordata; Lepidosauria; Squamata; Lacertidae
Source: the annotation of a GenBank genome assembly